This is a long non-coding RNA of Raphanus sativus (radish), 674 nucleotides long. RefSeq lists it as uncharacterized. The transcript is spliced from 3 exons. Lineage: Eukaryota; Viridiplantae; Streptophyta; Magnoliopsida; Brassicales; Brassicaceae. The record is from RefSeq and is a predicted model, not a curated record.
ACAUACACUUCUUCUUUUUUUGUAAAAUACACAUACACUUUUCGUUUUCAUAUGGUUUCAGUGUUUUAUCUUCUUAACGAAUUAGUGUUCUAAUUUAAAUUUCAUGUUUAUUCUUUUGCAGGUCUAAUAGAUCCUGGGAUGAUGGGUAGCAUAAGACAGAUCGAUAAACCUUCCUGUAUUAUUUCCCGAGCACCGUAGUCUCACCAUGUGAUCAUCUCUUUAACAUAAGAGGUUUAAGCUUAAAGGACAUUUGUAUCCAUGUCUUGAACCGUAUGAGUACUAACAUGAUUAACAGAUGAAGAACUCGUGAAUUUAUAUGUUGGUGAGUGUGACAGUUGGUGUUGUAAAUGGUGUGUCUAAAAUUUCUAAAUCAUAGACGAGGUAUGCAUAACUGAGGUAUGCUUAUCACGUGUAUAUUUUAGUUAGCCAUUUUGUAAAAUUUUGAAAUUUACUUUUAAUAUAUUUUACAAGGUUCCUCUUUUAACUGAGGCAGAAGAAAGUUCGGUAAAGAAAAACCUUCUGAACUCUUACAAGAAGAGAUCAUAUGAUUUUUUUCUGUGUGUUGGUGUUUCGUUCAGAUUUUUUUAAUUUAAUUAAUUAGUGUAUUUGAUACACAUGUUAUUAGUAUGUUCUUACAUUAAACUGGCCUUAAUAAUAAUAAGAUUUUUGCUUUA